AGUUCCUCAACCAUAGCACUGACUACAAUGUCUAAUUUGUUUAAACGAAAAAAAAAAUUAAACUAAAUAUAAAUAGAGAAUUAGUCAUAUUUUGAAAAUUUCCAUGUACUUGCGGCGAAUUGAAUAACCUUUAGGCGAAAAUUUGCGAUUUUGAAUUUACAACCCAAUACAUUUACUACAUCGAAGAGUUAAGAGAGACCUGAGUAGACCUAAACAACCCGUUAACUUAUGUCGCCGAUCUCUGAGCUGUGCUGUGUAACUUGACUAAAAAAAUGGUUUUCUAUUCAAAAGGCAUAAGCAAACAUGAAAUGAGCGAGUGUGAGCUCUUUCUUCUUCUUAUCGGCUGCUCUCCACAUUUAUCUAUUUGAAUGCAAUAACCAUGUAUACAACGGUAUCGUAAACGUGUGGAGGCGUUGGAAAAAUUUGGUCAAAUGUUUAUUUGUUUAGAUAAUUUACUAAUGCAUGCAUGUAUUAUAGUACAGUAGUAAAAUCACUAAAUGAGCCGUGAAUCUCCGUGCGAAAUGUGAAAUGUGAAAAGUGAAUAUGUUUAUUACAAAAUUAUUAUUUAUUAUUGCUAAAACAAGAGAACUCAGAAAUGCCAUGAUUUACUUUUUGAACAAAUAAACUAAUGGAAUAUGUUGAGGC
This is a long non-coding RNA of Zeugodacus cucurbitae (melon fly), 645 nucleotides long. RefSeq lists it as uncharacterized. The transcript is spliced from 3 exons. The record is from RefSeq and is a predicted model, not a curated record. NCBI's taxonomy places the organism in Eukaryota, Metazoa, Arthropoda, Insecta, Diptera, Tephritidae.